GGCGUGGGUUGUGUGGCCUCUCCCAGCUCCACGCGUUUCUGGGCGCCGGGCACUAGGCGAGCCGGCCGGGCUGGCGCGAGGCCGCAGGCGGGAAGAGUCCCCGGGGUCGGCCCCGAAGCGGCUCUGGAGGCAGUAGCCGGGGACGCCGAGGUCAGGGAGGAGGCGGAUCCGAGCGCGGUCCCGCAGGGCCCUGUCCGUUCUUCCGCCUCGGCCGGUCCCGUCAGGCCGCCUUUAAAUGCCCGGCGCCUCGCACCUGCUAACAAAACGAGCUCCUGCUGUUCCCCAGCUCCGUAAAUGGUGCCCCUGGCCCUCCCCAGUUCUCAGGCAGAGCCUUGGCGGCCUCCCUGACCCCUAACACCCCGCAUCCAGCCCGGCAGUACAUCCUGUUGGCUGUGCCUUCGAAAUUUCCCCAGACCUGACCUCUUCUCCCACCUCUGCCACCACCCUGCUCCGAGCCGUCUUUUCCCGCCGAGAUGACUGUAGUAGCGUCUCAGCUGGGUCUCCCCGCUUCCACCUUCCCCUCCUGAGUCUCCUCAACACAGGAGCCAGAGCGAUCUCGGAAAGUACAGGAGGUCAUGCCCCAGUGUGGUUCCCCUUUCCUGGGUUUAAGUCAAGGUCCUCACCGUGCCUGCCGGCCUCCCGGGUCUCUGCGCGGUGGACUCUGGACCUCCCUGCCCCGUCCUGCCUCAGGGCCUUUGCACCUGCUGUUACCGCGGCCUGGAACGCUCCUCCCCUGAAACCCUGUGACUCCCACUUAGUGAGGCGACCACCUGUUGAAAACCGUGCCCCCUUCCUAUACAGAUGCUCCUGUCAUAUGGGGUUAGAUUCCCCAUCAACCCAUCAUAGGUUAAAGCAUUGUAAGGCAAUUUACGGUAGGUUUAUCCGGAUGUAACCCCAUCUGUAAGCGGAGGAGUAUACUGAAUGUGUAUGGCGUUUGUACCAUGGCAAAGCCAAAAUGUAAGUCAAACUCGAAGUCCAGGACGGUCUGUGGCCUGUACUCCCUUGCUUUCCCUCCCCGGCUCUUAGCGCCAUCCAGCAUCGUUGAUAAUGUAAUUUGAUGUGUAUUGUCUGAAAGCACCAAGACGGCAGAGUUUCUCUCUUAUCCAGAUCACAGUGUGUGCUCAGUAAACACUAGACUGAGGGGGUGUAUGAGAGGUCUUUUUUUCCUCUCUCCUUCCUCAGGAAUGGGUGAAGAUGAAGUCCUGUAAGGCAGGAGCUGGAUCAAAGAAAUAUCCCGGGUCUUGUCUGUGUGCAGACUGUUGUUUGAGGACUCUGCUCCAGUUCUAGCAGCGAUCGGUGGCUCCCUUGGGUGACUCUCCAGAAGGAAGGGUGCCAGCAUGGACUGGUGUCUGCUUGCCAGAUGCCCUGAACAGCUCAUUCCUCAGGAGGCCAGGGGCGCCUCAGGAAGUGCUGUCAAAUGCAAUCACUCUCAGAACCCUCUGGGCUGAAAGAUGUCAUUGAUUUAUGCUGGCAGCCCCGCGCAGCACUCUGCUAGGUGUUGAAUUGUCUGGAGAACACCUGGUAUCACCCUCAAGGCCCCUUAGUCUGGUAGGAAGGAAUGAUGAGGAAGAGGCUGUGUGGAAGUCACAGAGAAGGAGGAGGGUGGGAUCAGUUUCCAGGGUGGGGUCUCUGGAAGUCCUCUCAGGGGUUCUCAGGGGGGCAUUUCUGCCUAGAGCAGCAGGUGUAAGGCGUGAGCCAUGGACGAAGGGAAGGAGCCAGCCAUCAUUGAUCGCCUCCUCUGUGCUGGAUGUGGCUCUAGAUGUCAAGCUCACAUUUACACAUUAGCCUUCCUUUACAGAGGAGGAAACAGGCUCAGAAAGCCCCUGACCCCGGUUACACCACUACUAAAUGCAGGAUUCAGAUCUUCAGUUGAGCUCUUUGUGGCCGUGAAGCCUGUCCUCUUCCCAGGGCUCGAUGCCACUUCCCAGGCUGGAAGCCAGACAAGCAUCCGGGGCUGCCCGGAAUUGCAUGCAAAUGUCCGGACAGCCGGCUUCCUCGUGGGCCCCGGCACUGGCAGAGGAACUCUUUGCCGGGCAUGUGGCUUGGGCAGGCCAGGGCAGCCAUCUGCCAGCCAGCCAUGUGGGGAGGAGGCUGUAGGCCACCCCACAGCCAGAUGCUUCUGGGCCGGUCCUGGGCUCCCAAAGGUAGUUCCUUCAGGAGAUGGAGUCACCUGGCUCCUCUCUUCCCUUCCACCCAGUUCCAAAGUCAGGGGUUCUGGGGCUGUGUCAGCAAGGGGCCAUUCUGGCACUGUCCUUCUGGCACAGAGCAUUGUGGCCAGGGAUGGACAUCUGUUCUGCAUUGACCCCCAUGGCCAGGACAUCUGUGGCCCCACGGAACUCAGUGACAAGGAGAGUCGGCAGCAGGGAAAGGCCACGCUCUGUAGUGUGUCUGCCAGGUGGCAGAGGAUCCCUGACACAGCCCAGCUGGCAUCUGCCCUUGCCACUGAGGCUUCCUGAGGGCAGUCCCCAAGGGUCCUGCCAUGCCAGGGCUCCCCUUCUGCCAGGCAGUGGCUGCUUAAGCUGAGGGAGGGAGAAGCUGGGAGUUGGCCAUGACUGAUGGUACCAGGCCAGUGGGAUCUGGAGCCCACAGAUGGUGGAGGAUGGGGCACAGCCCCCACCCCUUACCUGUGACGUGCCCUGCCGGCGGGCAGAGGCAUCCGGUCUGCUCUGUAGAAGUUGGAGGUACAGACUGGCAGAGGGAGAAGCGGAAGAGAUAGCAUCAUUUUACAGAAGGGAAAGCUGAGGCCCUGAGCCAGGGGGAUAUGCAUGGAUGCCCCGUGGGCUUUCUCGCGUUUACUCCUCCGCACAGGGCCCUGUUUUUCAAUGGAGGAAUUAGGGCUUGAAGGAAAUGAAGUGAGGUUUCCAGGGUCCCCUGGCUAAGCCAGUUAUUUGGCCCUGACCGGUGCAAAUCUGAGAGGGGGACUAAGCAGGCCCUCAGGCCAGGGUCCGAGCUUGCUCACUCAGCCACAGCAGGGAAGAGUCAGCCUGAGGCAGCAGGCCCAGGAUCGAGGGUGACCCUCCUCCCAGAAGCAAGAUGUGGUGAGGUCCCAGAUGGGCUGGGAAGGUGGCAUGAGGGCUUGCUUCAAGGGAGCCUGCUGGCUGGCCUCCAGUAUCCACCUGGAAACAGCCCCCCAGGUGUGCCCCUCGAGCUGCUAACCCCAAUCUGGCCACCCCCCAACUCGCUCCUCAGCACUCCAGUGGUCAGGGUGUCCCCUUCCCUGGUCCCUCCUUGCCCCUCCUCUUAGCACCAGCAACCGGGGCCUCCAGCAGGCCAGAGAUCUUCCCACAGCCUCCUGGGCUUCCUGCCCAAGGCAGGGGCUGAUCUCUCAAGGGUGGGUGGGACUUCCGGCUGUGCCAUCAGCAGUUCCUGGCUGUAUCAGUUAGCUUUGGCUGUGUAACAAAUCACCCCAAAGCCUAGAGGCUUCACACAACUACCAUCUCUUAUCCCUCACAGAUCCCUGGGUUGCCUGACCAAUUCUGGUGUGAGCUUCCCUGCUCAGGGGACAGCUCCCUGAGCCCAGAGCCCUGACUGCAGAGCUGCCGCCUGCAGCCCUGCAUGCUGUUUCUCACCACACUGUGUCCCCGCCCUUCCAGCCCGUGGAGUCACACUUCGCCACCCAGCCCCCGAGGACACACUCAUGGAACCCCCAGUCAGGCGUCCAGACUAAGCCACCAGGGUGGCUCCUCUCAGCCCCACUCCUGACCAAAGCUUCCUGCCUAUCGAGCGUGGGGACCAACUGCAGGCACCUCCGUCUUCAAUGCCACUCCGGAGGCAGAGGGGAGCCUCCACCUUCCCUGGCAUUGUCACCAUCAACCUUAACAAUAGUUUGACUUGGUUAAGCUCCUCCAAGGGCCGGGGAGGUCGGGCUGGGGCCAGAAGGAGCAGCCUGUACCAGGUAACUGUGACAGCAGACAGCCAAUGGGCAGAAGAGAGGUGUCAACGUCCCCCACUGUCGGGACCAGAGAAGGCGCCAUGGGAUGAGGGAGGGUCUGAUCCCAAGGUAGGAGGAAGUAUCCUGGGUCCCGGGGUCCCUCGAGCAAUCUGCAUUGUAAGGGAGGGUCCCUCUGGGGCCAGGAGAUACAUCAGGAAGUGGCGGAAAGACUGCAUUUGGGGGCCAGAUCUGGAG
RNAcentral lists this long non-coding RNA (4126 nucleotides) under Homo sapiens (human). Its description in RNAcentral is "non-protein coding lnc-NPTX1-1:4". The record is from RNAcentral. Lineage: Eukaryota; Metazoa; Chordata; Mammalia; Primates; Hominidae.